Molecule: microRNA, 19 nt
Filed under: Schistosoma mansoni
Lineage: Eukaryota; Metazoa; Platyhelminthes; Trematoda; Strigeidida; Schistosomatidae
Description: sma-miR-8417-5p
Source: miRBase by way of RNAcentral
UCAGUCUUGGUUAUAAGGU